GUCCUUUUGAAUUUAAUUUAAGGUCUAACCUGCCCACUGAAUUUUAAAUGGCCGCAGUAAUUUGACUGUGCAAAGGUAGCAUAAUAAUUAGUUUUUUAAUUUAAAGCUUGUAUGAAGGGUUGGACGAAAUAAAAUCUGUCUCUAUUUAAUUAAAUUUAGAAUUUAACUUUUAAGUUAAAAGGCUUAAAUAUUAUUAAAAGACGAGAAGACCCUAUAGAUCUUUAUAUUUUUUAUAUUAAUUUUAAUUAAGAAUUUUUAAUGUUUUAUUAUUCAAAGUAUUUUAUUGGGGUAAUAUAAAGAUUUAAAUAAUUCUUUUUUAUUUAAACAUUAAUUUAUGAUUUUAAUGAUCCAAUUUUAUUGAUUAUAAGAUUAAGUUACCUUAGGGAUAACAGCGUAAUUUUUUUAAAGAGUUCUUAUCGAUAAAAAAGUUUGCGACCUCGAUGUUGGAUUAAAGAUUAUUUUAGGUGUAGAAGCUUGAAAAUUUUGGUCUGUUCGACCAUUAAAUCUUUACAUGAUCUGAGUUCAGACCGGCGUAAGCCAGGUCGGUUUCUAUCUUUAAUAAAUUAAAAUAUUUUAGUACGAAAGGACCAAUUAUUUAAUAUAUUUAUAUUUAAUUUUUGAAUAUCAUUAA
Molecule: ribosomal RNA, 631 nt
Filed under: Leistus parvicollis
Lineage: Eukaryota; Metazoa; Arthropoda; Insecta; Coleoptera; Carabidae
Description: partial large subunit ribosomal RNA
Rfam family: Bacterial large subunit ribosomal RNA (bases 385-544)
Source: RNAcentral